GCAUAUCAAUAAGCGGAGGAAAAGAAACCAACAGGGAUUACCUCAGUAACGGCGAGUGAAGCGGUAAAAGCUCAAAUUUGAAAUCUGGCUCUUUUAGAGUCCGAAUUGUAAUUUGUAGAAGAUGCUUCGGGUGUGGUUCCGGUCUAAGUUCCUUGGAACAGGACGUCAUAGAGGGUGAGAAUCCCGUAUGUGACUGGAUACCUAUGCUCAUGUGAAGCUCUUUCGACGAGUCGAGUUGUUUGGGAAUGCAGCUCAAAAUGGGAGGUAUAUUUCUUCUAAAGCUAAAUAUUGGCCAGAGACCGAUAGCGCACAAGUAGAGUGAUCGAAAGAUGAAAAGCACUUUGGAAAGAGAGUUAAACAGUACGUGAAAUUGUUGAAAGGGAAGCGCUUGCAAUCAGACUUGCACUUGGUGUUCAUCAGGGUCUCGUACCCUGUGUACUUCAUCAAGUUCAGGCCAGCAUCAGUUUGAGUGGUUAGAUAAAGGCUUAGAGAAUGUGGCCCUCUUCGGGGGGUGUUAUAGCUCUAGGUGCAAUGUAGCCUACUUGGACUGAGGACCGCGCUUCGGCUAGGAUGCUGGCGUAAUGGUUGUAAGCGACCCGUCUUGAAACACGGACCAAGGAGUGUACCUAAUAUGCGAGUGUUUGGGUGUUAAACCCAUACGCGUAAUGAAAGUGAACGCUGGUGAGAACCCUUAAGGGUGCAUCAUCGACCGAUCUUGAUGUCUUCGGAUGGAUUUGAGUAAGAGCAUAUUGGGUGCGACCCGAAAGAUGGUGAUCUAUACGUGAAUAGGGUGAAGCCAGAGGAAACUCUGGUGGAGGCUCGCAGCGGUUCUGACGUGCAAAUCGAUCGUCAAAAUUUGCGUAUAGGGGCGAAAGACUAAUCGAACCAUCUAGUAGCUGGUUCCUGCCGAA
This 911-nucleotide ribosomal RNA is filed under the name Monilinia seaveri. RNAcentral's name for it is "LSU rRNA". It matches the Rfam family "Eukaryotic large subunit ribosomal RNA", at positions 38 to 965 of the family's 3401-position model. The record is from RNAcentral. Lineage: Eukaryota; Fungi; Ascomycota; Leotiomycetes; Helotiales; Sclerotiniaceae.